RNAcentral lists this ribosomal RNA (301 nucleotides) under uncultured bacterium. RNAcentral's name for it is "partial 16S ribosomal RNA". It matches the Rfam family "Bacterial small subunit ribosomal RNA", at positions 509 to 809 of the family's 1533-position model. The record is from RNAcentral.
CAGCAGCCGCGGUAAUACGAAGGGGGCUAGCGUUGUUCGGAAUUACUGGGCGUAAAGCGCACGUAGGCGGAUAUUUAAGUCAGGGGUGAAAUCCCGCAGCUCAACUGCGGAACUGCCUUUGAUACUGGGUAUCUUGAGUAUGGAAGAGGUUAGUGGAAUUGCGAGUGUAGAGGUGAAAUUCGUAGAUAUUCGCAGAAACACCAGUGGCGAAGGCGGCUAACUGGUCCAUAACUGACGCUGAGGUGCGAAAGCGUGGGGAGCAAACAGGAUUAGAUACCCCGGUAGUCCCUGUCUCUUAUCC